UUUUGCGCAAUGGGGGAAACCCUGACGCAGCAACGCCGCGUGAAGGAUGAAGGCUUUCGGGUUGUAAACUUCUUUUAGCAGGAAAGAAACAAAUGACGGUACCUGCAGAAAAAGCACCGGCUAACUCUGUGCCAGCAGCCGCGGUAAUACAGAGGGUGCAAGCGUUAUUCCGAAUUACUGGGCAUAAAGAGCGCGUAGGCGGUCUGAUAAGUUUGAUGUGAAAGCCCUGGACUCAAUCCAGGAAGUGCAUUAGAUACUGUUAGACUUGAGUACAGGAGAGGAGAACGGAAUUCCAGGUGUAGAGGUGAAAUUCGUAGAUAUCAGGAGGAACAACAGAGGCGAAGGCGGUUCUCUGGACUUAACUACGCUGAGGCGCGAAG
RNAcentral lists this ribosomal RNA (380 nucleotides) under uncultured bacterium. RNAcentral describes it as "bacterial SSU rRNA". It matches the Rfam family "Bacterial small subunit ribosomal RNA", at positions 362 to 758 of the family's 1533-position model. The record is from RNAcentral.